Long non-coding RNA from Leptinotarsa decemlineata (Colorado potato beetle), 969 nucleotides. The record is from RefSeq and is a predicted model, not a curated record. Lineage: Eukaryota; Metazoa; Arthropoda; Insecta; Coleoptera; Chrysomelidae.
GUGAGUCCUAAGUGGAUUUCAUAAAAACUUUCGUGAAAUAUUAUCCGGUUUGCACCAUUUUUGACCGUAAUAGUACAUUGACCACCAUGCCAUAGAUGUAUCUACACAAAAUAAUCACGAGGCGGCAAAUCUGGUGACAGUGAAGUCUAUUCAAGACUACCUCUUCUUUCAAUUCCGUGCCGUGAAACCAAACUAGACUGAUAUUGAUUUCAAUAAUGAACUGAAAGUAACAAAAUAAAUUGAAAUCUUGAUUGGUUAUGACACCAACCUAAUUAAUUGUUUACUUUCCAAGCCAUAAAGGGCCGAUUGUAAGAGACAAAGAUGAAAAUUACACAACAGUUACUUAUUUGGGCUAAAAUACUAUAAAGAUUUCGCACUCCCUACAAAAUGAAGGCCUAUAAAAGUAAUAAUAACGCAAGCAUGCAUAUUUACAAGGACAAAAUAGAUCUAGAGGUUGUAAAUUGUCGUGUGGAUUAUGUCCGAUCUUUCACACAGAUUAAACUGAAACAACAAAUGGAGCACACAUGAAGAUUCCACAAAACUGUUUUCAUAAUGGUAGAAUGAAGACAAACUAUGUAUAUUAUUCACCUUUUUUACAGAAAGACAGAAAUCUCUUCAAUUUAAGAAGAAAACUUUCAAAUUUAACUUCUGAAAAGUAUGAACAAAAAUGAAUUCAAAAACUCCCAAUAUCUCAUGAAUGAUAAAAAUCGAUUCAAAUAACUCUCCCCUUAUAACGUUAUUCUCAUCAGUUGAUCAUAUUCAGUACGUUUUUAGAAUAAUAGCUAUGAAAUGACCAAUAACUUAUUCACCUGUUUUUACUGAGACGUAGGUAAUGAAUUGAUGAUUAUAUCUGAUCUGUUCAGGUAAAUGUUUUUAUUUAUAAUGAUUAUAUAUGAUUUCAAUGUAAUAUCUGUAUACAAUUUUUCUAGUGCCUUUUUUGUUCAUACUGAAAUAAACUUUAUUUUUAUA